Long non-coding RNA from Platichthys flesus (European flounder), 1486 nucleotides. RefSeq lists it as uncharacterized. The record is from RefSeq and is a predicted model, not a curated record. NCBI's taxonomy places the organism in Eukaryota, Metazoa, Chordata, Actinopteri, Pleuronectiformes, Pleuronectidae. The transcript is spliced from 3 exons.
ACAACCCAGUGUUCAUAGACGAAUUCACUACAAUAGACUAAAUGUAUGCUGCCUCUUGAAAGUCAAUCUAAAAUGUAGAAAAAUUGAAAUUUUACAACUGUACUGUGGUGGAAGCAAUAUCAAAGAUAUACAUAGAUAUAAAGUUACCCAAGUCACAUGAAUGACCUUUUCUUUAGAAAGACCCCGCCUCCUCAGUAUUACUGGAUGGGACAUGGACCAAACCAAAGAAAGAAAUCAAAGAUUGUUUCCAUCAUUUUAGGAAGUUCUUCCCUCACACUGAGGUAUUUUCAAGUGUUCAUUUCACGAUAUGUUAAUGAGUUAUUUGAUGUUUGAUGUUGCCUUUUUACGGGACAUCAAUACCAGUGGCUCCAUCUGCUGAUCACUGCUGCGCAGACUGCGUAUAUUUCUGGAUGGAUGGAGGAAGUGGAGAAGCAUUUCCAUCUUUAUAAACAGCCUUUGUGCGUGGGACCCCUCCUCUCCUCUGGAUAGCCCAGAUGCUGCAGAUAGAAAUAACACCUCAUGGCUUCAAGUGAAUGAGCCAGUUUGCCUCUGUAAUCUGACAUGUCCUGCACCUCACUUCCUGUUUGGAUCUUCACCUCAGCCCCACAGUCCACAGAGAUUUCACCCAAUCUAGAGAAUCCUCACCACCUACUCCAGCUGCAACCAUUUCCCCCACUACAAUGGACUGGUAAAAAUUACCCAUCUCUCAAACAAAAAAAAAGAAAGUAGUUUUCUCAAACUUUUUCUUUCCUUUAUUUUGUGCUCUUUUUCGGGACCUAAAUUGAGGCAUUAAUGCAUUUUUAGUAGACAAAAAUAUAUUCCUUGUAUAUGUGCUCUAUGAGGCAGAUUUAUACAAAUUCAUGUGUCACACACAGAUACAUGUAUUCUAUACCGUGAGGCCAUGUUUGCAUUUGCAUGAAGUAUAUGCAGGUCAGUGUAAUAAAACAUUUAUUUUUCUCUCCCAUCUGCUACUUUGUAAAACAACACACAGCAGCAAGCAGUACACACACCACUACUCAUAUAUUAGCAGGCACCCACACUCAUGCACAGGCCAAAACUGCAUGGUAAGUUUGAAGAACAGUGCCUUGUGUUUACAGUUGUGUGGAUAAGGGAUAAGCUUGUUUAUUAUUUAUGACGACAAGGGUUAGUUUUCAUGUUUUUGUUUCCAGCUUAACUGGACUUAAAAGAGCAUUCAGAGGACAAAACGCCUAAAAGGACGACUUGCUAACUAUUCGUGUAUGAGCUGAAAUAUGAAGUGAAGCUAUAUUCAAAAAUAUGCUUAAAAAAUUUCAAGUUUCUCUCUUGUGUUUUGUUUGAAAUUCAAAAACAGUGCUGCAGUCCAUGCAGGGAUGUGUGUCCUUAACCUGGGUCAACACGGAGGGAAACUCCACUGCUGUAGUUAAUGUACAUGAGCUGUGCUGCCUCCCUGGCAUUGAGGGGGAGAGUGAAUGAAUCACCAUCUUUAAUAAAUGUUCUUGAUAAUGAA